UGAGUACGAGACGCUAAGGCGUCGAAGUAGUGGAUGUCAUACUUCCAAGAAAAGGUUGCACUGUCAUAAUUAAAAAACGCCUGUACCAUAACCGACACAGGUGGGUAGGUAGAGUAUACUAAGGGGCGCGAGAUAACUCUCUCUAAGGAACUCGGCAAAAUGACUCCGUAACUUCGGGAGAAGGAGUGCCUUAUUCGUAAGGCUGCAAUAACAAGAUCCAAGCAACUGUUUAUCAAAAACACAGGUCUCCGCUAAGUCGUAAGACGAUGUAUGGGGGCUGACGCCUGCCCAGUGCCAGAAGGUUAAAAAAGUCGGUUAGCAUUAGCGAAGCUGGUAACUGAAGCCCUGGUGAACGGCGGCCGUAACAAUAACGGUCCUAAGGUAGCGAAAUCCCUUGUCGGGUAAGUUCCGACCCGCACGAAAGGCGUAAUGAUUUGGAUACUGUCUCGGAGAGGGGCUCGGUGAAAUAGACUUGUCUGUGAAGAUGCGGACUACCUGCACCAGGACAGAAAGACCCUAUGAAGCUUUACUGUAACUUGAAAUUGAAAUUGGACUUUAUUCGCGCAGUAUAGGUGGGAGGUGUUGAUUAUAAUCUUGCGGGAUUAUUGGAGCCAUCAGUGAGAUACCACUCUUGUAAUGUUAGAUUUCUAACUUUGAAUCAUUAUCUGGUCAAAGAACAGUUUCAGGCGGGCAGUUUGACUCGGGCGGUCGCCUCCUAAAUGGUAACGGAGGCGUACAAAGGUUUCCUCUGAACGGGUAGAAAUCGUAUCUAGAGUGUAAAGGCAUAAGGAAGCUUGACUGUGAGACCUACAAGUCGAGCAGGGACGAAAGUCGGUCUUAGUGAUCUGACGGUACUGAGUGGAAAGGCCGUCACUCAACGGAUAAAAGUUACUCUAAGGAUAACAGGCUGAUCUCCCCCAAGAGUUCACAUCGACGGGGAGGUUUGGCACCUCGAUGUCGGCUCAUCGCAUCCUGGGGCGGUAGUACGUCCCAAGGGUUGGGCUGUUCGCCCAUGAAAGCGGUACGCGAGCUGGGUUCAGAACGUCGUGAGACAGUUCAGUCCAUAUCCGGUGUAGGCGUUAGAAUAUUGAGAGGAGCCUUCUUUAGUACGAGAGGACCGAGAAGGACAUACCUCUGGUGUACCAGUUAUCGUGCCAACGGUAAACGCUGGGUAGCUAUGUAUGGAGUGGAUAACCGCUGAAAGCAUCUAAGUGGGAAGCCCACCUCAAGAUAAGUAUUCU
Molecule: ribosomal RNA, 1241 nt
Filed under: metagenome
Description: bacterial LSU rRNA
Rfam family: Bacterial large subunit ribosomal RNA
Source: RNAcentral